UGUGAACUCGAAGAGUAGGGCGGGACACGUGGUAUCCUGUCUGAAUAUGGGGGGACCAUCCUCCAAGGCUAAAUACUCCUGACUGACCGAUAGUGAACCAGUACCGUGAGGGAAAGGCGAAAAGAACCCCGGCGAGGGGAGUGAAAAAGAACCUGAAACCGUGUACGUACAAGCAGUGGGAGCACCUUCGGGUGUGACUGCGUACCUUUUGUAUAAUGGGUCAGCGACUUAUAUUCUGUAGCAAGGUUAACCGUAUAGGGGAGCCGCAGGGAAACCGAGUCUUAACUGGGCGUUAAGUUGCAGGGUAUAGACCCGAAACCCGGUGAUCUAGCCAUGGGCAGGUUGAAGGUUGGGUAACACUAACUGGAGGACCGAACCGACUAAUGUUGAAAAAUUAGCGGAUGACUUGUGGCUGGGGGUGAAAGGCCAAUCAAACCGGGAGAUAGCUGGUUCUCCCCGAAAGCUAUUUAGGUAGCGCCUCGUGAACUCAUCUUCGGGGGUAGAGCACUGUUUCGGCUAGGGGGUCAUCCCGACUUACCAACCCGAUGCAAACUACGAAUACCGAAGAAUGUUAUCACGGGAGACACACGGCGGGUGCUAACGUCCGUCGUGAAGAGGGAAACAACCCAGACCGCCAGCUAAGGUCCCAAAGUCAUGGUUAAGUGGGAAACGAUGUGGGAAGGCACAGACAGCCAGGAUGUUGGCUUAGAAGCAGCCAUCAUUUAAAGAAAGCGUAAUAGCUCACUGGUCGAGUCGGCCUGCGCGGAAGAUGUAACGGGGCUAAACCAUGCACCGAAGCUGCGGCAGCGACACUAUGUGUUGUUGGGUAGGGGAGCGUUCUGUAAGCCUGCGAAGGUGUGCUGUGAGGCAUGCUGGAGGUAUCAGAAGUGCGAAUGCUGACAUAAGUAACGAUAAAGCGGGUGAAAAGCCCGCUCGCCGGAAGACCAAGGGUUCCUGUCCAACGUUAAUCGGGGCAGGGUGAGUCGACCCCUAAGGCGAGGCCGAAAGGCGUAGUCGAUGGGAAACAGGUUAAUAUUCCUGUACUUGGUGUUACUGCGAAGGGGGGACGGAGAAGGCUAUGUUAGCCGGGCGACGGUUGUCCCGGUUUAAGCAUGUAGGCUGGUUAUCCAGGCAAAUCCGGAUAAUCAAGGCUGAGGUGUGAUGACGAGGCACUACGGUGCUGAAGUAACAAAUGCCCUGCUUCCAGGAAAAGCCUCUAAGCAUCAGGUAACAUCAAAUCGUACCCCAAACCGACACAGGUGGUCAGGUAGAGAAUACCAAGGCGCUUGAGAGAACUCGGGUGAAGGAACUAGGCAAAAUGGUGCCGUAACUUCGGGAGAAGGCACGCUGGUGUGUAGGUGAAGUCCCUGCGGAUGGAGCUGAGACCAGUCGAAGAUACCAGCUGGCUGCAACUGUUUAUUAAAAACACAGCACUGUGCAAACACGAAAGUGGACGUAUACGGUGUGACGCCUGCCCGGUGCCGGAAGGUUAAUUGAUGGGGUUAUCCGUAAGGAGAAGCUCUUGAUCGAAGCCCCGGUAAACGGCGGCCGUAACUAUAACGGUCCUAAGGUAGCGAAAUUCCUUGUCGGGUAAGUUCCGACCUGCACGAAUGGCGUAAUGAUGGCCAGGCUGUCUCCACCCGAGACUCAGUGAAAUUGAACUCGCUGUGAAGAUGCAGUGUACCCGCGGCAAGACGGAAAGACCCCGUGAACCUUUACUAUAGCUUGACACUGAACAUUGAGCCUUGAUGUGUAGGAUAGGUGGGAGGCUUUGAAGCGUGGACGCCAGUCUGCGUGGAGCCAACCUUGAAAUACCACCCUUUAAUGUUUGAUGUUCUAACGUUGGCCCCUGACCGGGGUUGCGGACAGUGUCUGGUGGGUAGUUUGACUGGGGCGGUCUCCUCCCAAAGCGUAACGGAGGAGCACGAAGGUUAGCUAAUCCUGGUCGGACAUCAGGAGGUUAGUGCAAUGGCAUAAGCUAGCUUGACUGCGAGCGUGACGGCGCGAGCAGGUGCGAAAGCAGGUCAUAGUGAUCCGGUGGUUCUGAAUGGAAGGGCCAUCGCUCAACGGAUAAAAGGUACUCCGGGGAUAACAGGCUGAUACCGCCCAAGAGUUCAUAUCGACGGCGGUGUUUGGCACCUCGAUGUCGGCUCAUCACAUCCUGGGGCUGAAGUAGGUCCCAAGGGUAUGGCUGUUCGCCAUUUAAAGUGGUACGCGAGCUGGGUUUAGAACGUCGUGAGACAGUUCGGUCCCUAUCUGCCGUGGGCGCUGGAGAAUUGAGGGGGGCUGCUCCUAGUACGAGAGGACCGGAGUGGACGCAUCACUGGUGUUCGGGUUGUCAUGCCAAUGGCACUGCCCGGUAGCUAAAUGCGGAAGAGAUAAGUGCUGAAAGCAUCUAAGCACGAAACUUGCCCCGAGAUGAGUUCUCCCUGAGACUUUAAGUCUCCUGAAGGAACGUUAAAGACGAUGACGUUGAUAGGCCGGGUGUGUAAGCGCAGCGAUGCGUUGAGCUAACCGGUACUAAUGAACCGUGAGGCUUAACCUUACAACGCCGAAG
RNAcentral lists this ribosomal RNA (2557 nucleotides) under Klebsiella pneumoniae. RNAcentral's name for it is "partial 23S ribosomal RNA". It matches the Rfam family "Bacterial large subunit ribosomal RNA", at positions 398 to 2925 of the family's 2925-position model. The record is from RNAcentral. Lineage: Bacteria; Pseudomonadati; Pseudomonadota; Gammaproteobacteria; Enterobacterales; Enterobacteriaceae.